UUGAACGCUGGCGGCAGGCCUAACACAUGCAAGUCGCACGGUAACAGAAAGCAGCUUGCUGCUUUGCUGACGAGUGGCGGACGGGUGAGUAAUGUCUGGGAAACUGCCUGAUCGAGGGGGAUAACUACUGGAAACGGUAGCUAAUACCGCAUAACGUCGCAAGACCAAAGAGGGGGACCUUCGGGCCUCUUGCCAUCGGAUGUGCCCAGAUGGGAUUAGCUAGUAGGUGGGGUAACGGCUCACCUAGGCGACGAUCCCUAGCUGGUCUGAGAGGAUGACCAGCCACACUGGAACUGAGACACGGUCCAGACUCCUACGGGAGGCAGCAGUGGGGAAUAUUGCACAAUGGGCGCAAGCCUGAUGCAGCCAUGCCGCGUGUAUGAAGAAGGCCUUCGGGUUGUAAAGUACUUUCAGCGGGGAGGAAGGGAGUAAAGUUAAUACCUUGGCUCAUUGACGUUACCCGCAGAAGAAGCACCGGCUAACUCCGUG
RNAcentral lists this ribosomal RNA (489 nucleotides) under uncultured bacterium. RNAcentral's name for it is "partial 16S ribosomal RNA". It matches the Rfam family "Bacterial small subunit ribosomal RNA", at positions 30 to 507 of the family's 1533-position model. The record is from RNAcentral.